AUUAUGGAGAGUUUGAUCCUGGCUCAGAGUGAACGCUGGCGGCGUGCCUAAUACAUGCAAGUCGAACGAUGAAGCUUCUAGCUUGCUAGAAGUGGAUUAGUGGCGCACGGGUGAGUAAGGUAUAGUUAAUCUGCCCUACACAAGAGGACAACAGUUGGAAACGACUGCUAAUACUCUAUACUCCUGCUUAACACAAGUUGAG
RNAcentral lists this ribosomal RNA (202 nucleotides) under Campylobacter jejuni. RNAcentral's name for it is "partial 16S ribosomal RNA". It matches the Rfam family "Bacterial small subunit ribosomal RNA", at positions 1 to 197 of the family's 1533-position model. The record is from RNAcentral. Lineage: Bacteria; Pseudomonadati; Campylobacterota; Epsilonproteobacteria; Campylobacterales; Campylobacteraceae.